GCAUCAUACACUUAAACUGGUAUGUUCAUUGAAAACCUUCUGUGCAACUAAAGCUCUUUAAAGAAAAUGAAAGAAAUCUAUGGGACUAAUUGGGGAGAAAACUGUGCAAGCCACAUCUAUUAUAUGGUUGGAGACAGAAAGAGAUUCCAAGUCUUCCUCAGAACUGCCUGGAAGCUUGGAUUGGUGAGGAAGCCUGGGAGAACUGUACUAAUCAGAAGAGAAAAGGCCAAAAGGUGUGUGUGGGCGGGGGGUGGGGAGGAGAGGGGGAAGGAAAGAAAAUUCCUGUGGGUAGACUGGAAAUGAGGCCAUAUGAACCACUUUCCUUCCUCAUCCUUUUCCUUCUUUAUGGCACAAACCACUUUAACACCAAAAAUUCCCUGAUGAGGGGCUCCUAACCAGUCUCUGCCUGCAGACUUGGCUUUCUUAAAAUAAUUCUAAAUAACAUCACAGAGCUUGAAUUCCUAAAAAGACUCCUUAAGUCUUAAAAUCCCCACACUAAAGCAGAAGUUAAGAACUCUAAAUCACCUUCUGGAUUAAGUUCCUACUUCAGACUAGGAAUCGAGGCCUUCAAUGCCGUUCAAGUCAGUAUUAACUGUCAGGUUUAUGUAAACAGUGGAAGGCACAAGAGUAGCAGUGUAGUAGGAACACAUGAAUCCAUGGGACAAGGAAGACAUCAGCCAGUGAAGCGUUCGAGGGUGGGUUAAAAUUCAGUCACAACUAGAGGGGAGUUAGAUACCUCAGUUUCAGAAGGAAAUGGUCUUCCCAGGCACUGAAGGGAGAAAAUAACCUCAAAGAGCAGAGGUAGGUGGGAUAAAUAUUUUCAAAUGGGAGAAUAGGACAAAAUAGAUAAGAUAUGCUCAAGG
Perognathus longimembris pacificus (Pacific pocket mouse) is the source of this 863-nucleotide long non-coding RNA. RefSeq lists it as uncharacterized. The record is from RefSeq and is a predicted model, not a curated record. NCBI's taxonomy places the organism in Eukaryota, Metazoa, Chordata, Mammalia, Rodentia, Heteromyidae. The transcript is spliced from 2 exons.